This 438-nucleotide ribosomal RNA is filed under the name uncultured Novosphingobium sp. Its description in RNAcentral is "bacterial SSU rRNA". It matches the Rfam family "Bacterial small subunit ribosomal RNA", at positions 8 to 493 of the family's 1533-position model. Lineage: Bacteria; Pseudomonadati; Pseudomonadota; Alphaproteobacteria; Sphingomonadales; Sphingomonadaceae. The record is from RNAcentral.
AGAGUUUGAUCAUGGCUCAGAACGAACGCUGGCGGCAUGCCUAACACAUGCAAGUCGAACGAACCCUUCGGGGUUAGUGGCGCACGGGUGCGUAACGCGUGGGAAUCUGCCCUUUGCUUCGGAAUAACAGUUAGAAAUGACUGCUAAUACCGGAUGAUGUCUUCGGACCAAAGAUUUAUCGGCAAAGGAUGAGCCCGCGUAGGAUUAGCUUGUUGGUGAGGUAAAGGCUCACCAAGGCGACGAUCCUUAGCUGGUCUGAGAGGAUGAUCAGCCACACUGGGACUGAGACACGGCCCAGACUCCUACGGGAGGCAGCAGUGGGGAAUAUUGGACAAUGGGCGAAAGCCUGAUCCAGCAAUGCCGCGUGAGUGAUGAAGGCCUUAGGGUUGUAAAGCUCUUUUACCAGGGAUGAUAAUGACAGUACCUGAGAAUAAGUCC